GCUCCACCCUCGGCUGCUUUGA
Molecule: microRNA, 22 nt
Filed under: Gallus gallus (chicken)
Lineage: Eukaryota; Metazoa; Chordata; Aves; Galliformes; Phasianidae
Description: gga-miR-6550-3p
Source: miRBase by way of RNAcentral